This is a long non-coding RNA of Cyprinus carpio carpio, 2840 nucleotides long. The record is from Ensembl. Lineage: Eukaryota; Metazoa; Chordata; Actinopteri; Cypriniformes; Cyprinidae.
ACAAAACCAAGGUACAGCUGCAUUAUUCAAAUCUGUUAGUUUGAUUUUUGCAAAAACUAGAAUGGACUUGUACGAUUUCACUCUAUAUCGCAUUAAGCAUUUAUAUCACAUUUUUUAAAAAGGCAAAUUAUUGCUUUUGAUUGACUGAAAUUUAAUGUUUAAAGUGCAUGUAAACACACUUAAUGAAACAGCCCACUAAAAGACGAGAUCUGAUGAUGAAAGGCAAACACAAGGGUAUAUUGUGAUGGGUAUUGAAGGAAGAGGACUCAAAUGCGAGGGCAAAAUGACAGUCUUUAAUCAAACAAAGGAAAGCCACAGGAAAAUCCAAAUAAGGAGUACAAAAGGUGAAAACCAAGGCAGACCCGCAGGCUGGGUAUAAGUAACACAGGAGACCUCUGUGGCUGGAACCACCAGCAGGCUGGCGAGGCGGAGGCUUGACCGGGCUCAGGGGAGAUCCGGGGAACGGAGCUCGCAGAGCGGGGAGGCCGCGGCGUUGGACAGCAGGUAGGGCGCUGCCAUCAAGGGCAAAUAAAAGGGUGGAGUCUCUUAGCGGUGUGAGCGGAAUACCUUGUUGGAGCGCCCACUUCUCAUCCACAAAGUUUCCCUCGGCCCCAGAAUCGAUCAAGGCCGCACAGGAGGCUGACGACCCCGCCCACUGGAGAUGCGCUGGAAGUGUCGUGCAUGAAGUGGAAGGGAUAGUGUUAGUGGUAGCGCUCGCCAGUAACCCUCCUCCUACUGGCGAGCGUUGGCUUUUACCGGACAGGAAGACACAAAGUGAGAGGCACUAGCACAGUACAUACAGAGGCGGUUCUGAAUCCUCCUCUGACGCUCCUUAGAAGAAAUACGCAGGCCACCCAGCUGCAUAGGUUCAGGUUCAGAGUGGGAGGGGCUGACACGAGGCGACGAGAAAAGACUCUCCUCCAGGCGAUGAGCACGACGGCGUUGGUCAAACCGUCUCUCCACACGGAUGGCCAGGUCGAUUAGAUCGUCGAGCCGGGUAGGGAUCUCACGAACGAGGACCUCGUCCCGUACCUCAGGAGACAAGCCCUCCAGGAAGCGAGCGGUCAGGGCGGGUUGAUUCCACCCGCAGGUGGUAGCGAGGGUCCGGAAUUCAAUGGAGAAAUCCGGCACGGAUCGUCUCCCCUGCCGAAGUGUGGAAAGCCGACGGGAAGCCUCCUCUCCAUAGGCGGAGCGGUCGAAGACCCGGAUCAUCUCCUCCUUAAAACGCUCAAAGCUUGAGAUGCACUCCGCCUCAGUCUCCCAGUUGGCCGUUCCCCACUCGCGAGCUCGCCCGUGGAGGAGUGAAAGAACAAAAGCAACCUUGGCUCUCUCCUUAGCAUAUGUGAAGGGCUGGAGCGAGAAGACCACCUCGCACUGAGUAAGGAAGGCGCGGCACUGUGUUGGCUCACCCGAAUAGGCCGGAGGAUUAUUUAUCCGAGGCUCCGUCUGAACAGGAGGACACUGAGAGGCGGACGGCUGGAGACGGAGGUUGUGAACCUGGCUGGACAGCUCGGACAUCUGGGCGGCCAAAGAACCGACGGUGUGUCGGGUAGCAGAGAUGUCCUCCUCAUGCUUACCGAGGAGGACGCCCUGGUGCUCAACGGCGGUCUGGAACGGGCUGCCACUCGCUGAGUCCAUCAUGUUUGUCAGAUUGUUCUGUGAUGGGUAUUGAAGGAAGAGGACUCAAAUGCGAGGGCAAAAUGACAGUCUUUAAUCAAACAAAGGAAAGCCACAGGAAAAUCCAAAUAAGGAGUACAAAAGGUGAAAACCAAGGCAGACCCGCAGGCUGGGUAUAAGUAACACAGGAGACCUCUGUGGCUGGAACCACCAGCAGGCUGGCGAGGCGGAGGCUUGACCGGGCUCAGGGGAGAUCCAGGGAACGGAGCUCGCAGAGCGGGGAGGUCGCGGCGUUGGACAGCAGGUAAGGUUCUGUGGGGUGCAAAGGGGUGAGCACAGAGACGAACGGGCAGGGAUAGCAGAUGACUAACCUAACCCCGACUAGACCGGACAGGACAGGACAAUACUAAUCUCUUGUGCAGACGGCAACAGCUUCAUUAGGAGAUAACAAUCUGACAAAGAGACACGAGAACGAGAGGGUAGAAGUAGCCCAGAUAACAAGGCAAUAUGAGAAGCAGGUGGAGGGGAAAUUAUCUUAAUGAGAAGUGAAGUCAGCUGUGACACAGAAGCGAAGAGCAGUGGGAGACAGGAGAGGAGAAACCAGCAGGGGGAGACAGAGAGAGAAAAAGAGAGAGAUAGAGACAGGAUCAUGACAAGACCAUGACAUAUAUAGGCACACAAAACAAUUAACAUACAAGAAAGCAAAGGCGUAGGUUAGGUUAGAAAGUUGUUAAGGACAUGUUGAGAGGAGGCAGGAGACAACCUUGACAUUAUCCUUUUUAAAACAAAUCAGCGAUUAAAGCAAUGAGUCACAAGACCUUGAUCAUAUUCACAAAAUGCCAUUGCGUGGAUGUAAGCAACACUGCUUUCACAUUCUCCGUCUCUUUCUCUCAUCUGAAAACAUUCUGUUCCUGUGAAAUCGCAAAAUAAAAUGCAACCAAAUCUGUCAGUGCUACUUAUGUUUUUGACAAAACUGCUCAGUCAAGCAAGAUUCACACUCACAACCUUUGGCACUUAAGGGAAGAUGUGCUCCACUGAGCCACAACAGCUCAUGUUCAGAUUUAGGGCUCUCUUAAGACUAAAAUCCUACAAUCACCCUUAAAUAGACAUAUGUUGACCAAUGAAAACAUGCAAGACAAUGUUUUUUGUCAGGGCAAUCAGAUUUUCUAAAACUUGACAGGAAACCCAACCUUAAUUAUGCCAAUUCAAGAAACACUUGUGCU